CUGCACUAUGUGUUCCACAGGCAGGGCUGGCCCCUGGCUCACCAGUACUGGAUGGGAGCCACAGUCCUCUCGGGGUCUUCAUGUGCUGGAAUUAGCACAGAGCUUGGCGGCCAUCCUCUAAUUCUCUUUGCUUGGCUAAGGAUGGAAUUGAGGCUCAAGGAGGUUGAGCGUCUUGUGGUCAAGUCUGAAAGAGAGAGAACCCUGGCUACAGACUUGGACUUCUUCAGUGGAAAUAAAUGAAUAACAUGCCAUGACUUGAAGAAUAUGAAAAUUGAAGGAAUAAUGCAGAUUAACAUCCAAUUCUUCUACUUACUGUGCUCAUUCAAUGUGACAAGCCUUCUCUAAGGAGUGGACAUGUCUGAGAACGUCUUCCAUCUUGCUGCAAAGAAAGUCUCCUUCAUAGCUUUCGACUUUUUCAUCAGCUUCGCCUUGUCUUGGCUUUGGCAUCUCUGGCUCUAUUUUUACAGGAAAACUUCAUUGUGUGUAACAAGCAGGCAUGCAGACAGGAGUUGACUCCACCUUUUCAUCUGCUCUUCAAGCAAGGAGACCAUCAUGGCCAAUUGGUGGCCUCCAGCAGAAAAAGAAACCCAGCAAAUCCCCACAGGCCAUAGAAACAGUCCUCUCUGCUUCUCUACUUCUUGGAAAAUAAGGUGUAUCAAGUGUCAGGCCCUUGGUUCUUCCCUAACACCUCCUGGAGUGAGCUCCUCUUUAACCUGUUCCAGUUGGAGGGAGGCAGCACAUCUCAGUGGUCAAGAUCAUGACCUUGGUGUCAGAUGGCUUUGGGCUUCAUUCCUCACUGUGUGGCCUCAGAGUUCUCCCCUUUAAACUCAACAAAGGAUAACAUCCACUGUCGCUUUUCUUCUUGAAGAAGGAUAACAGGGAGAGAAUGAAGGGUGGAGAGAAACCAGAAUCUCAAGUAGAUCUUGAAUUUGUAGGCUGACCAGGUGAGAACUCCCAAGAAGGUCUAUUAGUAUGCCUAAGACUGUGACCGCCAAAUGAAAUUUGAGUGCUUCUGCUCGGUUUCCUUCUGCAGGUCAGGAACGAGACCCCCAAAUUCCUGACCCUCCUCUUCCUAAGAUUCAUGAUUCUUACAUUUUCUUCUCAUCACAAAUUGCUUUCCAGGUACCAUCUCAGUCGGUACCCAUAACCAGCCGAACCAACACUUACUUGAAGAGUCUUGAUGACUCCCUUCAGUUGGUAAAAUUAAUGAGAGGAUCCUGUUUUUAUUCCGUAGCCAUUAUUACACAUUUCAUGAGGCCUUGUACUCAGAUGAUAUUCUUUCUUUUUAGAGCCAAACUUAUUUCUUAUUUCACAUUGUCAGAUGACCCGAUGAUUUCUGAGCAACAUCCCUAGGUAGGAAAAAAGUGGAUAAACUGAGGCUCAUAAUGCUUAAGUGACUCCCUUAAGAUCUUAUGAUGAGUCAGGAAGCAAGACAGAAAUAGAAACCACGACUCUAGUCUGCUAAACUGUUUUUCUGACCACUAGACCACACUUCCUCUGCAGACUAUGAAACGCUGGAAAAUGGGAGUCAGGCAGAGAGUAAAUAUGGAGGCGAACCCACAGAAACACAAUUUUACUUGUACCCAAAUCAUGUCAUUUAGUAAAGGAAAACAGAGAAACACCCCAAGCUUUUUGCUGUCAUCAAAAUUAUAACCUAAACCAACAAUGGAUAUAGAAUAGGAAAUGAGUCUGCCCUGGAUAGACAUACCCUUUUCCAUUUAAAAUGAAUUUGAAAAAGUUGUCCAUUUUUCCGUCUUGAUGUGUUUUUCCUUUAUACAAAAGGAGAAUCUAAGUGUUCACUUUUAUUUAGAUUUAAGAGUGUAUAAAUAAAAUACCUUUAAUCCUCUCAUUGUUCACACAAUGCAGACCUAACCAACAAUUACUUGUUACAAGUUUAAGGCUCUGUGGGAACAGUUGGUGUAAUAGACACACUGUCUUUAAACUUAAAAUUUAGUUGGACAGAGUCUCCAUGUACCCAUGAAACUCUGAAGGCAGUUGACGAUGAACAUCAAAUGAGCAGGAGUGAUUAAGAAGCAGCCUAUGAUGUGUAAUAGCAAAAACCAAAGCAACGCUGUGUGAAGACUUGGGUUUGAGUCUCAGCUGUACCACGAGCUAACUUUCCACCUUGGACAAAUUACAUCCUAUGCAUUGACAGGGAGCGAUAGCAACUGUCUGCCUUGUCUUCCAACAGUAUUAGCGUGGAGACCAACAUGAGAAAAUGCAUGUAAAAUGGGCUGUGGGCUGGAAGAUGAAAUAUAGGAGGCAUUCAAGUCAUGAGAAGUAUCAGAAUCAUGCCAGGGUUGCACAGAAAAGCCUUUCUCCUUUGUAUCUAGAAUCUCCAAUGAUACAGUUUUCAAGGAACCUUCAGCAGGCUCAAAUGGAAACUAAAACAAGAAAUUAAAAACAGGCUCCCUUUGAAAUUAUUUUUGGCUAUGAGAACAGAAAAUAAUACGAUAUUUUCCCUUUGGUAAAUAGCUCCUUGCCUCAUCCUCAGUGAGAGCUAUCUGAACAUCUUGUGUGAAAUCUGUUGAUAAUGGUUUGAAGAGAGAACUUUCCAAUUAUGAAGAAGAAGGCAUGCAACUCAGGGAAGCCGAACCCUCUGUUGACUGGGACAGAGAGUGCCAAAAACCCUUCCCACCUGUGGUUCCCAGGGAGCAACCGCAGCAGCAUUUCAUCACCAGGACAAUGUGGCAACCAACAGGAAUCCUUGAAUGACCCUUUCAGGAAAACAAGCAUGAAAUUGUGUUCAGGGCUUCCACCUGUGGGUGAACCCGGGUAUUGUUGAUAUGGGAAACUUGAGAAAAGGCAGGAAUUUACUUUUAAAAUUAAGCAGGGAAAAUUUACUGUAAAUAUUGUUAAAUUUAUUGUUAAGUAGUCUGUGAGGAUACUUUAAUUCCAGGAGGUCAUGUGAUUUUUCUUAAUCGAGGAAACAACUAACUGUAAAACUUGUCUAAAAUUCUUACACUAACCUCUGCUUGCGUCAAGUCACUCUUUUACAGCAAUAAUUCAUUACACUUUACACUUAGCAAAAAAAUGUAGAGGGGUCGGCCCCAUGGCCGAGUGGUUAAGUUCGCGCGCUCAGCUGCAGGCGGCCCAGUGUUUCGUUGGUUCGAAUCUUGGGCGCGGACAUGGCACUGCUCGUCAAGCCACACUGAGGUGGUGUCCCAUGUGCCACAACUAGAAGGACCCACAACUAAGAACAUACAACUAUGUACCUGGGGGCUUUGGGGAGAAAAAGGAAAAAAAAUAAAAUCUUAAAAAAAAAAUGUGGAAUUCUUACACUGACUGCAUGACCCUAAUUAUGAUAUCAAAAGAUAACUAUUAAUGUUGUCUUCUAUUUAAAAUAAAGCAACAG
Molecule: long non-coding RNA, 3355 nt
Organism: Equus caballus (horse)
Lineage: Eukaryota; Metazoa; Chordata; Mammalia; Perissodactyla; Equidae
Source: Ensembl